This 253-nucleotide ribosomal RNA is filed under the name uncultured bacterium. RNAcentral's name for it is "partial 16S ribosomal RNA". It matches the Rfam family "Bacterial small subunit ribosomal RNA", at positions 524 to 776 of the family's 1533-position model. The record is from RNAcentral.
GACGGGGGGGGCAAGUGUUCUUCGGAAUGACUGGGCGUAAAGGGCGCGUAGGCGGUUCGUACAGUCAGACGUGAAAUUCCUGGGCUCAACCUGGGGGCUGCGUUUGAUACGUGCGGACUUGAGUGCGGAAGAGGGUCGUGGAAUUCCCAGUGUAGAGGUGAAAUUCGUAGAUAUUGGGAAGAACACCGGUGGCGAAGGCGGCGACCUGGUCCGAUACUGACGCUGAGGCGCGAAAGCGUGGGGAGCAAACAGG